This is a non-coding RNA of Pygoscelis adeliae (Adelie penguin), 78 nucleotides long. The record is from Rfam. NCBI's taxonomy places the organism in Eukaryota, Metazoa, Chordata, Aves, Sphenisciformes, Spheniscidae.
UGUGCUAAUCCUCUUGGAAUGCAGCAAUUAUCACCUACGUAUAGGUGUUAAGUGCUGAAUUUCAAAGGGAUUAUCACU